RNAcentral lists this ribosomal RNA (226 nucleotides) under uncultured bacterium. Its description in RNAcentral is "partial 16S ribosomal RNA". It matches the Rfam family "Bacterial small subunit ribosomal RNA", at positions 538 to 763 of the family's 1533-position model. The record is from RNAcentral.
GCGUUGUCCGGAUUUAUUGGGCGUAAAGAGCGCGUAGGCGGCCCGGAAAGUCGGUUGUGAAAACCUGGGGCUCAACCCCAGGCCUGCAUCCGAUACUCCCGGGCUCGAGGCAGGUAGGGGAGAGUGGAAUUCCUGGUGUAGCGGUGGAAUGCGCAGAUAUCAGGAGGAACACCGGUGGCGAAGGCGGCUCUCUGGGCCUGUCCUGACGCUGAGGCGCGAAAGCUAG